GAUUAACGCUGGCGGCGUGCAUAACACAUUCAAGUCGAACGGAAUAUGGAAACAUAUUUAGUGGCGGACGGGUGAGUAACGCGUGAGCAAUCUACCUCCAGGUAAGGGAUAACAACCGGAAACAGUUGCUAAUACCUUAUGAAGUAUAGAGUGAGCAUUCACAUUAUACCAAAGGCUUGCUGCCUGGAGAUGAGCUUGCGUCUGAUUAGGUAGUUGGUGAGGUAACGGCCCACCAAGCCGACGAUCAGUAGCCGGACUGAGAGGUUGAACGGCCACAUUGGAACUGAGAUACGGUCCAG
RNAcentral lists this ribosomal RNA (299 nucleotides) under uncultured bacterium. RNAcentral's name for it is "partial 16S ribosomal RNA". It matches the Rfam family "Bacterial small subunit ribosomal RNA", at positions 28 to 334 of the family's 1533-position model. The record is from RNAcentral.